This 426-nucleotide ribosomal RNA is filed under the name uncultured beta proteobacterium. RNAcentral describes it as "bacterial SSU rRNA". It matches the Rfam family "Bacterial small subunit ribosomal RNA", at positions 356 to 774 of the family's 1533-position model. The record is from RNAcentral. Lineage: Bacteria; Pseudomonadati; Pseudomonadota; Betaproteobacteria.
GGGGAAUUUUGGACAAUGGGCGCAAGCCUGAUCCAGCAAUGCCGCGUGCAGGAUGAAGGCCUUCGGGUUGUAAACUGCUUUUGUACGGAACGAAAAGCCUCUCUCUAAUACAGGGGGGUGAUGACGGUACCGUACGAAUAAGCACCGGCUAACUACGUGCCAGCAGCCGCGGUAAUACGUAGGGUGCAAGCGUUAAUCGGAAUUACUGGGCGUAAAGCGUGCGCAGGCGGUUUUGUAAGACAGGCGUGAAAUCCCCGGGCUCAACCUGGGAACGGCGCUUGGGAAGGAAAGACUAGAGUACGGCAGAGGGGGGUGGAAUUCAACGUGUAGAAGUGAAAUGCGUAGAGAUGUGGAGGAAAACCAAUGGCGAAGGCAGCCCCCUGGGUCGAUACUGACGCUCAUGCACGAAAGCGUGGGGAGCAAACA